Molecule: ribosomal RNA, 484 nt
Filed under: uncultured bacterium
Lineage: Bacteria
Description: partial 16S ribosomal RNA
Rfam family: Bacterial small subunit ribosomal RNA
Source: RNAcentral
AGUGAACGCUGGCGGCAGGCCUAACACAUGCAGGUCGAGCGGCAGCGCGGGGGCAACCCUGGCGGCGAGCGGCGGACGGGUGAGGAAUUCGUCGGAAUCUGCCUUUUUGUGGGGGAUAACGUAGGGAAACUUACGCUAAUACCGCAUACGUCCUACGGGAGAAAGUGGGGGACCGCAAGGCCUCACGCAGAAAGAUGAGCCGACGACCGAUUAGCUAGUUGGUGGGGUAAAGGCCCACCAAGGCGACGAUCGGUAGCUGGUCUGAGAGGAUGAUCAGCCACACUGGGACUGAGACACGGCCCAGACUCCUACGGGAGGCAGCAGUGGGGAAUAUUGGACAAUGGGCGCAAGCCUGAUCCAGCCAUGCCGCGUGUGUGAAGAAGGCCUUCGGGUUGUAAAGCACUUUUGUCCGGAAAGAAAUCCCUGGAGCUAAUACCUUCGGGGGAUGACGGUACCGGAAGAAUAAGCACCGGCUAACUUCGUG